RNAcentral lists this ribosomal RNA (507 nucleotides) under Salmonella enterica. RNAcentral's name for it is "partial 23S ribosomal RNA". It matches the Rfam family "Bacterial large subunit ribosomal RNA", at positions 1134 to 1643 of the family's 2925-position model. The record is from RNAcentral. RNAcentral also lists the same sequence under 4 other names. Lineage: Bacteria; Pseudomonadati; Pseudomonadota; Gammaproteobacteria; Enterobacterales; Enterobacteriaceae.
GUAAUAGCUCACUGGUCGAGUCGGCCUGCGCGGAAGAUGUAACGGGGCUAAACCAUGCACCGAAGCUGCGGCAGCGACACUGUGUGUUGUUGGGUAGGGGAGCGUUCUGUAAGCCUGCGAAGGUGUCCCGUGAGGGAUGCUGGAGGUAUCAGAAGUGCGAAUGCUGACAUAAGUAACGAUAAAGCGGGUGAAAAGCCCGCUCGCCGGAAGACCAAGGGUUCCUGUCCAACGUUAAUCGGGGCAGGGUGAGUCGACCCCUAAGGCGAGGCCGAAAGGCGUAGUCGAUGGGAAACGGGUUAAUAUUCCCGUACUUGGUGUUACUGCGAAGGGGGGACGGAGAAGGCUAUGUUGGCCGGGCGACGGUUGUCCCGGUUUAAGCGUGUAGGCUGGUUUUCCAGGCAAAUCCGGAAAAUCAAGGCUGAGGCGUGAUGACGAGGCACUACGGUGCUGAAGCAACAAAUGCCCUGCUUCCAGGAAAAGCCUCUAAGCAUCAGGUAACAUCAAAUC